GCGUUCAUGGUGUAAUGGUUAGCAUUGCUGCCUUCCAAGCAGUAGAUCUGGGUUCGAUUCCCGGUCAACGCA
This 72-nucleotide transfer RNA is filed under the name Dendronephthya gigantea. RNAcentral's name for it is "tRNA-Gly". It matches the Rfam family "tRNA". Rfam says of the family: Transfer RNA (tRNA) molecules are approximately 80 nucleotides in length. Their secondary structure includes four short double-helical elements and three loops (D, anti-codon, and T loops). Further hydrogen bonds mediate the characteristic L-shaped molecular structure. tRNAs have two regions of fundamental functional importance: the anti-codon, which is responsible for specific mRNA codon recognition, and the 3' end, to which the tRNAs corresponding amino acid is attached (by aminoacyl-tRNA synthetases). tRNAs cope with the degeneracy of the genetic code in two manners: having more than one tRNA (with a specific anti-codon) for a particular amino acid; and 'wobble' base-pairing, i.e. permitting non-standard base-pairing at the 3rd anti-codon position. The record is from RNAcentral. Lineage: Eukaryota; Metazoa; Cnidaria; Anthozoa; Malacalcyonacea; Nephtheidae.